This 492-nucleotide ribosomal RNA is filed under the name uncultured bacterium. Its description in RNAcentral is "partial 16S ribosomal RNA". It matches the Rfam family "Bacterial small subunit ribosomal RNA", at positions 30 to 507 of the family's 1533-position model. The record is from RNAcentral.
AUUGAACGCUGGCGGCAUGCUUUACACAUGCAAGUCGAACGGUAACAGGCCUUCGGGUGCUGACGAGUGGCGAACGGGUGAGUAAUGCAUCGGAACGUGCCCAGAGGUGGGGGAUAACGCAGCGAAAGCUGUGCUAAUACCGCAUGUGAUCUGAGGAUGAAAGCGGGGGACCAGGCAGCAAUGUUUGGCCUCGCGCCUUUGGAGCGGCCGAUGUCAGAUUAGGUAGUUGGUGGGGUAAAGGCCUACCAAGCCGACGAUCUGUAGCUGGUCUGAGAGGACGACCAGCCACACUGGGACUGAGACACGGCCCAGACUCCUACGGGAGGCAGCAGUGGGGAAUUUUGGACAAUGGGCGCAAUCCUGAUCCAGCAAUGCCGCGUGCGGGAAGAAGGCCUUCCGGUUGUAAACCGCUUUUGUACGGAACGAAAAGUCUCUGGCUAAUACCUGGGGCUGAUGACGGUACCGUAAGAAUAAGCACCGGCUAACUACGUG